This 253-nucleotide ribosomal RNA is filed under the name uncultured bacterium. Its description in RNAcentral is "partial 16S ribosomal RNA". It matches the Rfam family "Bacterial small subunit ribosomal RNA", at positions 524 to 776 of the family's 1533-position model. The record is from RNAcentral.
UACGGAGGGUGCAAGCGUUAUCCGGAUUCACUGGGUUUAAAGGGUGCGUAGGUGGGUUGGUAAGUCAGUGGUGAAAUCUCCGUGCUUAACAUGGAAACUGCCAUUGAUACUACUGAUCUUGAAUUUUCAGGAGGUAAGCGGAAUAUGUCAUGUAGCGGUGAAAUGCUUAGAUAUGACAUAGAACACCAAUUGCGUAGGCAGCUUACUACACGAUCAUUGACGCUGAGGCACGAAAGCGUGGGGAGCAAACAGG